This 122-nucleotide microRNA precursor is filed under the name Octodon degus (degu). RNAcentral's name for it is "miRNA (ENSODEG00000021986.1)". The record is from RNAcentral. Lineage: Eukaryota; Metazoa; Chordata; Mammalia; Rodentia; Octodontidae.
GGUCUCGCUAUAUAGUUCAGGCUGGCCUUGAACUCACUUUGUAGACCAGGCUGGCCUUGGACUCAAAAUCCUCCUGUUUCAGCCUCCUGAGUGCUGUGAUUACAGGCAUGCACCACCAUGCC